GCAUUCGUGGUCAAGUGGUUAGGGUUCUCCUCACCACCAGGCAACGUCCUCGGAUCGCAUCCGAGGGAAUGCA
Molecule: non-coding RNA, 73 nt
Organism: Chytridium lagenaria
Lineage: Eukaryota; Fungi; Chytridiomycota; Chytridiomycetes; Chytridiales; Chytridiaceae
Source: the annotation of a GenBank genome assembly